GCUCCAGUGGCGCAAGCGGUUUGCGCGCCGUACUUAUAUAACAGUAUCGGAGACAUGCGGAGGUUGUGAGUUCGAGCCUCACCUGGAGCAUUUUUUCGUCACAU
This 104-nucleotide transfer RNA is filed under the name Ciona intestinalis (vase tunicate). Its description in RNAcentral is "miRNA (ENSCING00000019357.1)". The record is from RNAcentral. Lineage: Eukaryota; Metazoa; Chordata; Ascidiacea; Phlebobranchia; Cionidae.